UAGUCCAUGCCGUAAACGAUGAUUACUCGAUGUUGGCGAUAUUCAGUGACUAAGCGAAAGUGAUAAGUGUCCCACCUGGGGAGUACGAUCGCAAGAUUGAAACUCAAAGGAAUUGACGGGGGCCCGCACAAGCGGUGGAGCAUGUGGUUUAAUUCGAUGAUACGCGAGGAACCUUACCAGGGCUUAAAUGUAGUAUGACAUGAGUGGAGACACUUUUAUCUUCGGACAUAUUACAAGGUGCUGCAUGGUUGUCGUCAGCUCGUGCCGUGAGGUGUCAGGUUAAGUCCUAUAACGAGCGCAACCCUUAUCGUUAGUUGCCAGCAUUUUAAGAUGGGGACUCUAACGAGACUGCCGGUGCAAACCGUGAGGAAGGUGGGGAUGACGUCAAAUCAUCACGGCCCUACGUCCUGGGCUACACACGUGCUACAAUGGUAUGGACAAUAAGCAGCCACAACGCAAGUUGGAGCGAAUCUAUAAACCAUAUCACAGUUCGGA
Molecule: ribosomal RNA, 495 nt
Filed under: uncultured bacterium
Lineage: Bacteria
Description: bacterial SSU rRNA
Rfam family: Bacterial small subunit ribosomal RNA
Source: RNAcentral